AAAACAUGUCUCUUUGUAAAAUAUAAAUAGAGAGUCGGGCCUGCUCGGUGAAUAAGUUUUUAACAGCUGCGGUAUUUUAACUGUACUAAGGUAGCAUAAUAAUUUGCCUUAUAAUUUGAGGCUAGAAUGAAUGGUUUGACGAAGGUUAAUCUGUCUCCACCUUAUUUUUUAGAAGUUAAUUUUUAAAGUGAAAAAGCUUAAAUCUUUCAAAGGGACGAGAAGACCCUAAUGAGCUUAUAAUUUUAUUAUCAUUAUUUAAAAUAUUUAGGUGGUGGUAUAUAAAUUUUAAUUGGGGUGAUUAAGGAAUAAAUUGUGUAUAGUAACUUCCUUAAAUUAGGUAUUUGUAGAUAAAGUAACCAAUGUAAUAUUGCUUAUAGUAUAGUUACCAUAGGGAUAACAGCGUAAUUUGUUUAGAGAGUUCUUAUUGAAAAACGAGAUUGCGACCUCGAUGUUGGAUUAAAGUAACCCUAGGGUGCAGAAGCUUUAGUAGGUAAAUCUGUUCGAUUUUUAAUACUUUACGU
RNAcentral lists this ribosomal RNA (521 nucleotides) under Ommastrephes brevimanus. Its description in RNAcentral is "partial large subunit ribosomal RNA". It matches the Rfam family "Bacterial large subunit ribosomal RNA", at positions 1810 to 2601 of the family's 2925-position model. Lineage: Eukaryota; Metazoa; Mollusca; Cephalopoda; Oegopsida; Ommastrephidae. The record is from RNAcentral.